Molecule: long non-coding RNA, 724 nt
Organism: Pomacea canaliculata
Lineage: Eukaryota; Metazoa; Mollusca; Gastropoda; Architaenioglossa; Ampullariidae
Exons: 3
Source: RefSeq, a predicted model, not a curated record
AUUUACAAAAGACAAUUUUAUAAUGUUAAUUCUGUAAUAGAUAUUCUGUUUCUUAAAAAGGUUUAGUUAAUGAUACAACUAUGAUUGUGAUUGUUUGUGUCAGGUUCGACUAUCGUAGGCUGUGAGCAGGGCAAAGUGGACGUGGAGGAAGGCACAAACCACUCAUUCUCGUGUGUUGAAUUGCCAGGGAUGAUUUAUGAUAGCAAUGGACGUGCUCUCUGUUACUGCAGUAGUUAUUAUUAUUAUUAUUAUUACGGCUACUUGUGUCAGCUUGUAAUAUAUUUUGGUGUAUCAGAAUAUUUAUACAGCUGCUAUCAAAACUCCUACUUAACUGUGAUACCAAGAGACUCGGCUAGCAGGAUUAUGUGGGAUUACUAUGGGACACGUGCAUAUUGCAGUUUAAACAUAUAUGCUACCCCAGUGUACCAGAAUGACAGCUGCGAUGUAAGUAUUUCAGACUGGAUGGUUACCGGAAGCUGCAACAUAACAGGAAUGUAUUCUUCCGACAACAAUUACACAUGCAGCUGGAGAGAGCAAAAUAACACCAGGGAGGAAUUCGGGGGUUGGAAUGUGCUGGAAGGUUAUAAGUGCGGCUAACACAAGACUCUACAUGCGGGGUGUUUGCUCAUUUACAAGACCAAUUCCUUGUCUCAACGGCUCCUAUAACUACACAUGAGAGUAUCACCCGGCUCUGAUGAGUUUUACCAUAACACAAUAAUUAUAG